UCUGAGUGAUUUCCGUUAAGGAGAUCUUUUGGCACCUCUAAAAUUGGUGCAGAAUAAGGGGUGGGCAAGUCUGGUGUCAGCCGCCGCGGUAAUACCAGCACCCCGAGUGGUCGGGACGUUUAUUGGGCCUAAAGCAUCCGUAGCCGGUUCUACAAGUCUUCCGUUAAAUCCACCUGCUUAACAGAUGGGCUGCGGAAGAUACUAUAGAGCUAGGAGGCGGGAGAGGCAAGCGGUACUCGAUGGGUAGGGGUAAAAUCCGUUGAUCCAUUGAAGACCACCAGUGGCGAAGGCGGCUUGCCAGAACGCGCUCGACGGUGAGGGAUGAAAGCUGGGGGAGCAAACCGGAUUAGAUACCCGGGUAGUCCCAGCUGUAAACGAUGCAGACUCGGUGAUGAGUUGGCUUCUUGCCAACUCAGUGCCGCAGGGAAGCCGUUAAGUUUGCCGCCUGGGGAGUACGGUCGCAAGACUGAAACUUAAAGGAAUUGGCGGGGGGAGCACA
This 499-nucleotide ribosomal RNA is filed under the name uncultured archaeon. RNAcentral's name for it is "bacterial SSU rRNA". It matches the Rfam family "Archaeal small subunit ribosomal RNA", at positions 380 to 880 of the family's 1478-position model. The record is from RNAcentral.